UGGGCUUGACAUGCACGCUCCCUUGCGGGUCCUUCCCCUUUCGGGGUCGUACCACGUGCAUGUCAAGCCCAGGUAAGGUUCUUCGCGUUGCGUCGAAUUAAACCACACGCUCCGCUGCUUGUGCGGGCCCCCGUCAAUUCCUUUGAGUUUUAGCCUUGCGGCCGUAGUCCCCAGGCGGAGAACUUAUCGCGUUAGCUUCGGCACCGAGGGGGUCGAUACCCCCGACACCUAGUUCUCAUCGUUUACGGCGUGGACUAC
RNAcentral lists this unclassified non-coding RNA (258 nucleotides) under uncultured Chloroflexota bacterium. RNAcentral's name for it is "uncultured Chloroflexi bacterium contains 16S-23S intergenic spacer region". The record is from RNAcentral. Lineage: Bacteria; Bacillati; Chloroflexota.